RNAcentral lists this ribosomal RNA (497 nucleotides) under uncultured bacterium. RNAcentral describes it as "partial 16S ribosomal RNA". It matches the Rfam family "Bacterial small subunit ribosomal RNA", at positions 28 to 507 of the family's 1533-position model. The record is from RNAcentral.
GAUGAACGCUGGCGGCGUGCCUAAUACAUGCAAGUCGAGCGAACAGAUGAGGAGCUUGCUCCUCUGACGUUAGCGGCGGACGGGUGAGUAACACGUGGAUAACCUACCUAUAAGACUGGGAUAACUUCGGGAAACCGGAGCUAAUACCGGAUAAUAUAUUGAACCGCAUGGUUCAAUAGUGAAAGACGGUUUUGCUGUCACUUAUAGAUGGAUCCGCGCCGCAUUAGCUAGUUGGUAAGGUAACGGCUUGCCAAGGCGACGAUGCGUAGCCGACCUGAGAGGGUGAUCGGCCACACUGGAACUGAGACACGGUCCAGACUCCUACGGGAGGCAGCAGUAGGGAAUCUUCCGCAAUGGGCGAAAGCCUGACGGAGCAACGCCGCGUGAGUGAUGAAGGUCUUCGGAUCGUAAAACUCUGUUAUUAGGGAAGAACAAAUGUGUAAGUAACUAUGCACGUCUUGACGGUACCUAAUCAGAAAGCCACGGCUAACUACGUG